CUGGCGGCAGGCCUAACACAUGCAAGUCGAACGAGGACCCGGAGCUUGCUCCGGACUCCUAGUGGCGGACGGGUGAGUAACGCGUGGGAAUCUGCCCAGCAGUACGGAACAACCGCGGGAAACUGCGGCUAAUACCGUAUACGCCCUCCGGGGGAAAGAUUUAUCGCUGCUGGAUGAGCCCGCGUCGGAUUAGCUUGUUGGUGGGGUAACGGCCUACCAAGGCGACGAUCCGUAGCUGGUCUGAGAGGAUGAUCAGCCACACUGGGACUGAGAUACGGCCCAGACUCCUACGGGAGGCAGCAGUGGGGAAUAUUGGACAAUGGGGGAAACCCUGAUCCAGCCAUGCCGCGUGAGUGAAGAAGGCCUUAGGGUUGUAAAGCUCUUUCACCGGGGAAGAUGAUGACGGUACCCGGAGAAGAAGCCCCGGCUAACUCCGUGCCAGCAGCCGCGGUAAUACGGAGGGGGUUAGCGUUGAAGCCC
This 480-nucleotide ribosomal RNA is filed under the name uncultured Alphaproteobacteria bacterium. Its description in RNAcentral is "bacterial SSU rRNA". It matches the Rfam family "Bacterial small subunit ribosomal RNA", at positions 36 to 543 of the family's 1533-position model. The record is from RNAcentral. Lineage: Bacteria; Pseudomonadati; Pseudomonadota; Alphaproteobacteria.